This 775-nucleotide long non-coding RNA is filed under the name Capsicum annuum. Its description in RNAcentral is "long non-coding RNA (CANN_LNC006083)". Lineage: Eukaryota; Viridiplantae; Streptophyta; Magnoliopsida; Solanales; Solanaceae. The record is from RNAcentral.
CUCGUUCUUUUUCCUAUUACUUUUGAGUUGCGGGGCAUCAUAAUGGAACUGGGAGGAUUUAAGCUCGAGAAAGAAACUUCACGACAACAAAACACGGCCACUCUUCUAAUUCACAACAGCGGAUUUGCUUAGCUCUGGAAGCUGGAGUCCCUUGGCCUGCAUUUGUUUGUACAUCCAUUGCCAAUUUUCAGGUGUUACCUCACCUCCUAGAGAUCGAAUCACAGACCCACCGCUGCAAGAACCUACCCGACAACAUUCCUCCAGUGACAGUCCCCUUACCAAUCCAUACAAAAACCCACUUGCAAACAGAUCUCCGGCACCUGUAGCGUCAGUAAGUUUUGCCUCGCCAAUUGCUGGAACACGGGCAAACUGAAAACCAAAACAAUAUUUCAUGUUUAUAACUCCAAUAACAUACAAUAAUUAAGAUUAUAAAACUAUCAACGGAGAAAGCCAUCUUGUGCGUGUGCCAACAAGAAUGGAAUUUUUCUAUAUAAAAAUAAUUAAUUUUAACCUUAAUGCCAAUUUUAUGGCCACAAAAACAUCAUGGCAUGUUUAAAACCACAAGUUCUUUUUAAAAAAUUCUUUCUUAUGUAAACUCCACGGCCUGUCAAAUACAUUCACAUAAAUUGCUAGUAUCCUACUAUUAAAAUGACAAGAACGACCAAGUUGUGGGGGUACUCGAUUGACAUCUUUAAAUAAUAUGAACAUCCAGAACAAACGGCUCGUUUUUAUUCAUUUUUUCUUAAAGAUGCAUUGCAGGUGGGGAAGGAUUACC